AGCGAACGCUGGCGGCAGGCUUAACACAUGCAAGUCGAGCGGGCACUUUCGGGUGUCAGCGGCGGACGGGUGAGUAACGCGUGGGAACGUGCCCUCUGGUUCGGAAUAACUCAGGGAAACUUGAGCUAAUACCGGAUACGCCCUCUUGGGGAAAGGCUUGCUGCCGGAGGAUCGGCCCGCGUCUGAUUAGCUAGUUGGUGAGGUAACGGCUCACCAAGGCGACGAUCAGUAGCUGGUCUGAGAGGAUGAUCAGCCACACUGGGACUGAGACACGGCCCAGACUCCUACGGGAGGCAGCAGUGGGGAAUAUUGGACAAUGGGCGCAAGCGUGAUCCAGCCAUGCCGCGUGAGUGGUGAAGGCCUUAGGGUUGUAAAGCUCUUUUAUCCGGGACGAUAAUGACGGUACCGGGUGAAUAAGCCCCGGCUAACUUCGUG
This 435-nucleotide ribosomal RNA is filed under the name uncultured bacterium. RNAcentral describes it as "partial 16S ribosomal RNA". It matches the Rfam family "Bacterial small subunit ribosomal RNA", at positions 29 to 507 of the family's 1533-position model. The record is from RNAcentral.